UAGAGUUUUGAUCCUGGCUCAGGACGAACGCUGGCGGCGUGCCUAAUACAUGCAAGUCGAGCGAGCUUGCCUAGAUGAAUUUGGUGCUUGCACCAAAUGAAACUAGAUACAAGCGAGCGGCGGACGGGUGAGUAACACGUGGGUAACCUGCCCAAGAGACUGGGAUAACACCUGGAAACAGAUGCUAAUACCGGAUAACAACACUAGACGCAUGUCUAGAGUUUAAAAGAUGGUUCUGCUAUCACUCUUGGAUGGACCUGCGGUGCAUUAGCUAGUUGGUAAGGUAACGGCUUACCAAGGCAAUGAUGCAUAGCCGAGUUGAGAGACUGAUCGGCCACAUUGGGACUGAGACACGGCCCAAACUCCUACGGGAGGCAGCAGUAGGGAAUCUUCCACAAUGGACGCAAGUCUGAUGGAGCAACGCCGCGUGAGUGAAGAAGGGUUUCGGCUCGUAAAGCUCUGUUGGUAGUGAAGAAAGAUAGAGGUAGUAA
Molecule: ribosomal RNA, 491 nt
Filed under: Lactobacillus gasseri
Lineage: Bacteria; Bacillati; Bacillota; Bacilli; Lactobacillales; Lactobacillaceae
Description: bacterial SSU rRNA
Rfam family: Bacterial small subunit ribosomal RNA
Source: RNAcentral